UAGAAUGUUUUGACUCUUCGUCUUAUUUGAAAUAUUUUUACGAUUAAAAAUUUUAUUGUUACUAGAUGGUAAAACAUGAAUAAUACUUUAUGACUAAUUUUUUUAAGUUUUUAUGUAAAUUUUUUAAAUAAGACGAAUGGUCAAAACAUUGAACACGGACAUCGA
RNAcentral lists this microRNA precursor (165 nucleotides) under Oryza brachyantha (malo sina). RNAcentral's name for it is "MIR812 microRNA precursor family". It matches the Rfam family "MIR812 microRNA precursor family", at positions 27 to 191 of the family's 205-position model. The record is from Rfam by way of RNAcentral. Lineage: Eukaryota; Viridiplantae; Streptophyta; Magnoliopsida; Poales; Poaceae.